AGAGUUUGAUCCUGGCUCAGGACGAACGCUGGCGGCGUGCCUAACACAUGCAAGUCGAACGGCCCGCCCCAUCGGAUUCCUUUCGGGGAGAAGAUGGGUUCCCGGGCAGUGGCGGACGGGUGAGUAACGCGUGGAGAACCUGUCUCUCAGUUGGGGAUAACCUGGCGAAAGUCGGGCUAAUCCCGAAUACGCUCUCAAGGUGGCAUCACUUUGGGAGGAAAGGUGCUUUCGGGCAUCGCUGAGAGGUGGCUCCGCGUCGGAUUAGCUAGCUGGUGGGGUAACGGCUCACCAGGGCGACGAUCCGUAGCUGGUCUGAGAGGAUGAUCAGCCACACUGGGACUGAGACACGGCCCAGACUCCUACGGGAGGCAGCAGUGGGGAAUCUUCCGCAAUGGGCGAAAGCCUGACGGAGCAACGCCGCGUGAACGAAGAAGGCCUUCGGGUCGUAAAGUUCUGUCCUCAGGGAAGAACCCUCAUGGGAGGAAAUGCCCAUGAGCUGACGGUACCUGGGAAGGAAGCCCUGGCUAACUACGUGCCAGCAGCCGCGGUAAUACGUAGAGGGCAAGCGUUGUCCGGAAUUACUGGGCGUAAAGGGUACGCAGGCGGAUAUAUAAGUCAAAUGUGAAAGGCACCGGCUCAACCGGUGAGCGGCAUUUGAAACUGUAUAUCUUGAGUUCAGGAGAGGAGAGCGGAAUUCCUGGUGUAGCGGUGGAAUGCGUAGAUAUCAGGAAGAACACCAGUGGCGAAGGCGGCUCUCUGGCCUGAAACUGACGCUCAGGUACGAAAGCUGGGGGAGCGAACGGGAUUAGAUACCCCGGUAGUCCCAGCCGUAAACGAUGGACACUAGGUGUUGGGGGUUCGAAUCCUUCAGUGCCGAAGCAAACGCAUUAAGUGUCCCGCCUGGGGAGUACGGUCGCAAGACUGAAACUCAAAUGAAUUGACGG
RNAcentral lists this ribosomal RNA (944 nucleotides) under uncultured bacterium. Its description in RNAcentral is "bacterial SSU rRNA". It matches the Rfam family "Bacterial small subunit ribosomal RNA", at positions 8 to 916 of the family's 1533-position model. The record is from RNAcentral.